AUCUGAGCCGACAUAUUUUGUUACAAUUGUAGGUUUCCUGCAUAGACAGAAAAAAACCCAUACCGUGACCAAUAUUACAUACUGCAAUACAGAUAAUGCUGGAGGAGAGUUUGCGUCCUCAGAUUCUUCCGAUGAGUGAGCCAAGAAGUCAUGAAGUUUCUGCACCAAUAUUUUCUCCUCCCAAAGCUUCUACAAUUUCCUGAAACAAGUGCCGCCUUCUAGCUGCAAGCACACUGACUGAGGCCAAGGGCAGUCACCCUUCCAGACCCUCCUGUAUCAAAAGUUACCACUCUCAGCUGUUUGUCACUGCUUCCCUCCCACAUGCUAUCAGUCCUCUAAAAUCUGCCAGCUGAUAUGUCCGAGUCGUCAUACCUUAUCUGCUACUAGAUACCGGGUUUCAAACUGCUGAACUACACUACCCCCUUCAUAAGUUAACCCAGUUAAAGCAUACAGGCUUCCAUCCUUUUUACUUUUUAUCUCCUCAUUACUUUCAAAAUAGUCUUCUGAUAGCAAGAAGAAAUAAAAUUUUCUGUCCCUGUUUUGCAGGUUGUAGGAACUUUUGAAUAUUUAUCAGAAGCUCUAUCCACUCACCUUUACCACCUCUACUAUUUCUCUGAACACGUCAGUUUAUUAACUUCUGACUUUCAAUUUAACUGUUAUUGCUAAAAAAAAAAAAAAAUCACCUGUUUUAAAGAAGGACAUGCAGGUGAGUGCUCUCUUGAGCAAUGAGUGAAAGGGUAUCAUCACAUUAAUGCAAAUGACUAUUUAAACCAGUGAAAAUAACCACAUAUAAAACAACAUAAAACAUCAAUUUUAAAAAAAUAAUCUGUCAUUUAUUUAAAUCUUCUGAAGUACUCAAGAUAAAACAAAACAGCACUUUGCAAUGGAAAGAUUUUCUGCAUGAGUAAAGGACACUUUUCUUUUGAGACUACAUGCAUACCAUCAAUCACUUGAGCAACUUUGAAAGACAGUGUAACAAAGCCUGUUUUACUCUCAAAUGUAUCUUAAAAUUUUUCUCUCAAUCUGUCUAAAAGUCUUUCCCUCUAAUUACUGGACUCAUGCUGCUACACAACUGCCCGUCCCUAAACUUGGGCUUCCCUUUUUGUCACGGAUGGAGGGCAUAUUUGGAAUACAUUACAGAAGACGAUAAUGGUACACUUUAGUUUUAACAGAUUGCAUGCUCCACUUUAGAAAGGAGAUUUAAUGACAAUUUAUUCACAUUAAGUUUAAAAAAAAAUUAGACUUGUUCAGAAUUAUUUGAUAGUAAUAGUACAUAAAGAGAUUUUAUAUCAAUUCCAGAUGGUCUGAAGAACUAUUGCGGCCCUUCUAAAUGUGCUUAAAAGUACAUUUUUGGUAGUAAAAAUGAAAACAAAAAACCCACAUGUGGAAUUCUGCUCAUUUAGUUUAUAACUAACUUGUUUUGGUAAACAGCAUUUGUAGAAAAAAAAAGUGGGAACUACAGAUGAGUUAUAUUAUUAUUGUUCUCAAUACAAAACAAGUUCAGAAUAGUAUGUGUGUGUCUUUGUGACUAACACUUGGAACAUUAUCUACUACCAUUUAUUAACUCUUAUCCUAACUAGCCUAAACUUAUCAUUUUCAGAGCAAAAUAUUCAUGCUGACAACCAACCACCAAAAAAAAAAAAAUUAUCUACAAACUAAUACUAAAAAGUCUUCUCAACUUGCUUUUCCUCUUGAUUAUUUAGCAUUUUGUACCAUAAGCCUGUAUUGAGGAAUACCAGGUCAAAUGUAAGUAAAGGUGUUACACUUACUAUACUUCACCACAAAGAAAUUUUAAUUUAGGGCAAUGCUUUACCUGAUAUUGUACAAAAGCGAUUUUAUGUCAUGCAUUUAUAGUUGAGAAAAUAUUAUCUAUAAUCUUUUUUAAAGCUUCUACUGCAAAAUCCGUGUUCUUUGUAAUAUACUAAUAGACUCAUCCACUAUUAAAUUGAUCUCAAC
This is a long non-coding RNA of Gymnogyps californianus (California condor), 1956 nucleotides long. RefSeq lists it as uncharacterized. Lineage: Eukaryota; Metazoa; Chordata; Aves; Accipitriformes; Cathartidae. The record is from RefSeq and is a predicted model, not a curated record. The transcript is spliced from 3 exons.